UAAAUACUUUAAAAUUAAAGGAUUUGGCGGUGGUUUAAUCUUAUUAGAGGAAUUUGUUUUUUAAUCGAUACACCACGUAAAAUUUUACUUAUCUUUGUAAAUGUUCAGUUUGUAUACCAUCAUUAUAAAGAAAUUCUUAAAGGAUGUAAUUUCUAAAAUUAUGUUGUUUAAAAAAAUUAGAUCAAGGUGCAGCUAAUAGGUAAGUUAAAAUGAAUUACAAUAAAUUAUUUUAUUAUGAAUUAAUAAGUGAAAGACUAUUAUGAAGGAGGAUUUAAUUGUAAUAUAAGUUUAAUAAGCUUAUAAGAAAUAAGCUCUAAACCAUGUACAUAUCGCCCGUCGCUUUCGUUUAUAAACGGAAUAAGUCGUAACAUAGUAGGUGUACUGGAAAGUGCAUCUAGAAUAAA
RNAcentral lists this ribosomal RNA (404 nucleotides) under Ilyoplax dentimerosa. Its description in RNAcentral is "partial 12S ribosomal RNA". It matches the Rfam family "Microsporidia small subunit ribosomal RNA", at positions 764 to 1305 of the family's 1311-position model. Lineage: Eukaryota; Metazoa; Arthropoda; Malacostraca; Decapoda; Dotillidae. The record is from RNAcentral.